CACGUAGGGUGCGAGCGUUGUCCGGAAUUAUUGGGCGUAAAGAGCUCGUAGGCGGUGUGUCGCGUCGGCCGUGAAAACCUGCAGCUUAACUGUGGGCUUGCGGUCGAUACGGGCAUCACUGGAGUUCGGCAGGGGAGACUGGAAUUCCUGGUGUAGCGGUGAAAUGCGCAGAUAUCAGGAAGAACACCCGUGGCGAAGGCGGUUCUCUGGGACGGUACUGACGCUGAGACGCGAAAGCGUGGGGAGCGAACAGG
This 254-nucleotide ribosomal RNA is filed under the name uncultured bacterium. RNAcentral describes it as "partial 16S ribosomal RNA". It matches the Rfam family "Bacterial small subunit ribosomal RNA", at positions 524 to 776 of the family's 1533-position model. The record is from RNAcentral.